Molecule: long non-coding RNA, 787 nt
Organism: Brassica napus (rape)
Lineage: Eukaryota; Viridiplantae; Streptophyta; Magnoliopsida; Brassicales; Brassicaceae
Exons: 2
Source: RefSeq, a predicted model, not a curated record
CUAUCCUUCAGAUUAUUUACAGAGAGGACAAGUACCUUGGUUUUGAGAAUAGUGCCAUCAGAGAGAUGAACCAUCUUGUAGUAUCCAGACAAUUCGAUAUGAACAACCUUAGACGAAAACCUUAUGGUCCCUUGAGGCAGCUCAUCCGCUAGAGCCUCUAACAGCACCUUCCUCUAAGAAGAAGAAGGAAGAAACAUACUCGGAUUUUGGAAAGAGCAUUUCCUUAGAAGGAUUUCCUGGGGAGAUGUGUCCCACCACCCAUCUGCAUGCGAAGAAGAAGAAGAUCAAAGAUAAAGUUCUCUAGUCACAGAGUUGAUAUGAACAAUACUAGUGUUAGCCUGAUGAUAGAUACCCUUGAAGGAGAUCAUGGAGAUCGCGAACAUGCUGAGACACGCCGAGAGCUUCCAUAGCCUUCCAAGCGUUGAACCAAGUAGUAAAUGCGAAUCCUGUGGCUCUCAGCUUAUCUGAAGAUUCCAGCACCAUGCUUCUAAUCCCAAGCCUGUGUGACACCACUUUGUUUAACUAACACAAAGGAAGGAUAAGCUACUUUCACAAACACAAACCUAUGAAGUCCAACGGCGGUUGAAAGGCCGGAGAUUCCGGCGCCAACGAUGACAAUAUCUAGGGUGCCUUGUUCUUCCAUGGUGAUCUUGAGGAAGCUCUGCGUUUAUUCCUCUGUUGUUUAUAUUUAAAAAAUACAAAAUUGUGGAGGAAGAUGGCAAGUCAAACAAAGGCACCCAGUUCUAGGCAGGCGGCUAUACAGUAAUUAAAAUCGAAUUUUAAUACU